GACGAACGCUGGCGGCGUGCUUAACACAUGCAAGUCGAACGGAAAGGCCCUGCUUUUGUGGGGUGCUCGAGUGGCGAACGGGUGAGUAACACGUGAGUAACCUGCCCUUGACUUUGGGAUAACUUCAGGAAACUGGGGCUAAUACCGGAUAGGAGCUCCUGCUGCAUGGUGGGGGUUGGAAAGUUUCGGCGGUUGGGGAUGGACUCGCGGCUUAUCAGCUUGUUGGUGGGGUAGUGGCUUACCAAGGCUUUGACGGGUAGCCGGCCUGAGAGGGUGACCGGCCACAUUGGGACUGAGAUACGGCCCAGACUCCUACGGGAGGCAGCAGUAGGGAAUAUUGCACAAUGGGCGGAAGCCUGAUGCAGCAACGCCGCGUGCGGGACGACGGCCUUCGGGUUGUAAACCGCUUUCGCCUGUGACGAAGCGUGAGUGACGGUAAUGGGUAAAGAAGCACCGGCUAACUACGUG
RNAcentral lists this ribosomal RNA (468 nucleotides) under uncultured bacterium. RNAcentral describes it as "partial 16S ribosomal RNA". It matches the Rfam family "Bacterial small subunit ribosomal RNA", at positions 28 to 507 of the family's 1533-position model. The record is from RNAcentral.